GAAAUGCGAUACGUAAUGCGAAUUGCAGAACUCAGUGAAUCAUCAAAUCUUUGAACGCAAAUGGCGCUUUCGGGAUAGGCCUGAAAGCACGCCUCUUUGAGUAUCGAUUCCACACCAACAAGUCAACAUGCUUGUUGAAAUCUGAGUACUUCACAGAUGACUGAGUCUGUGUUACUUGAAGUGGAAAUUGGGUCAAACAAGAUCGCAAAGGAUUUUCGUUGAAAUGAAAAGCCAGUUGCGUGACGUGGGUAACUUGUUUUUUCUGUCGAAAGACGAAAAAUAUAUCCAAUACGUGACGUAACAGCAAUGGUUUGAUUUCAAUGAGCCGACUUCUUGUCGCGUCUUUUACGAAUCAAAGACCCGUACAUCCGAACAAACACAAUCGAGAAUUAGAUCUCAA
This 400-nucleotide unclassified non-coding RNA is filed under the name uncultured fungus. Its description in RNAcentral is "sequence contains ITS1". The stretch from base 1 to 106 matches the Rfam family "5.8S ribosomal RNA", at positions 50 to 154 of the family's 154-position model. Lineage: Eukaryota; Fungi. The record is from RNAcentral.